AACAGCCACUAGGUUGUACUAUUAAGCUAAAAUUAGCCAAAAGGUUUUGUUUUUGAUUUUGAAUCCUUUUAUUGUUAGCCGCAUGGCAGCAGAUCUUUGGAUAAGUGCAGAUUUUAGGGUAGUUCCUGCUUUUCUUCCGGUACCUGAUGGGGAGGGACAGUACGCUACGUCAGCAGCCGUGUUACUAUAACAGGAGCCUUGGAAAAAACAAAGACAUACAUUACCUGAUUGAGGCUGUCACAUCUACACUUGAUCCCUGGGUGAAGACUGAUGGUGCUAACAAUAAAAAAAGGAAA
This is a long non-coding RNA of Xiphophorus couchianus (Monterrey platyfish), 296 nucleotides long. RefSeq lists it as uncharacterized. The record is from RefSeq and is a predicted model, not a curated record. NCBI's taxonomy places the organism in Eukaryota, Metazoa, Chordata, Actinopteri, Cyprinodontiformes, Poeciliidae. The transcript has 3 exons.